Molecule: ribosomal RNA, 429 nt
Filed under: Verrucomicrobiota bacterium
Lineage: Bacteria; Pseudomonadati; Verrucomicrobiota
Description: Verrucomicrobia bacterium partial 16S ribosomal RNA
Rfam family: Bacterial small subunit ribosomal RNA
Source: RNAcentral
UAGGGAAUCUUCCGCAAUGGACGAAAGUCUGACGGAGCAACGCCGCGUGAGUGAAGAAGGAUUUCGGUUCGUAAAACUCUGUUGUUAGGGAAGAAAAAAUGUAUAGUAACUAUAUACAAAAGAGACGGUACCUAACCAGAAAGCCACGGCUAACUACGUGCCAGCAGCCGCGGUAAUACGUAGGUGGCAAGCGUUGUCCGGAAUUAUUGGGCGUAAAGCGCGCGCAGGUGGUUUAGAAAGUCUGAUGUGAAAGCCCACGGCUCAACCGUGGAGGGUCAUUAGAAACUAAUAAACUUGAGUGCAGGAGAGAAAAGGGGAAUUGCUAGUGUAGCGGUGAAAUGCGUAGAGAAUAGGAGGAACACCGGUGGCGAAAGCGGCUUUUUAGACUGCAACUGACACUGAGGCGCGAAAGCGUGGGGAGCAAACAGG